GCCUGCUCUCUUUCUUUAAAUGCACUCGAGUUUCUCGUACCUGUGAUGAGUUGUUGGAAUUCGGGAGAUCUUAGGGAAAGGAAAGCGCAGAAACUUAUAGGAGGAGCGAAAAAAGAGAGCAAAAAUGAUAUACCGCAAAUGGAGUUUGCUAACCGGCCCAGUCUUCAUCAUCGGCGGCGUCGUGGGAGCCACCGUUGCAGCCCACCUUCUCUUUGUUGACGAUCCAUAUCUUAAACCAAAGAAGAAGAAUGAUUCGCCAUCAUCAAGCAAGUAGACGGAAGUUGACUGUUGCUCGUUGGUAUUCCAGAGCUUGUUUUUCCUGACCUCUUGAGCUUGCAAAUGCUUAGGAGUUAUUUGUUGAAUAAUAUCGAAUCCGAUUGUUGUGUAAUUUGUGGUAGUUUCUCUUUUCUCUUUCUCAAUAACAAUUCGACUACCAUGCCCUUAAACAUUUGCAUCGAGUGUCGGAACAUUGCUUAAGUUGCACCAGGCAGAUAAUUUUGCAAAUCAACAUGAUAAAAGCAGGAUCUACCUCUUGGUUCUGUAUUUCCUUCCCUCCUUUUAUGUGUGCGUGGUUUUG
Molecule: long non-coding RNA, 577 nt
Organism: Hibiscus syriacus
Lineage: Eukaryota; Viridiplantae; Streptophyta; Magnoliopsida; Malvales; Malvaceae
Exons: 2
Source: RefSeq, a predicted model, not a curated record